AACGAACGCUGGCGGCAGGCUUAACACAUGCAAGUCGAGCGCCCCGCCAGGGGAGCGGCAGACGGGUGAGUAACGCGUGGGAACGUACCCUUAUCUUCGGGAUAGCUCCGGGAAACUGGAAUUAAUACCGAAUGUGCCCUUUGGGGGAAAGAUUUAUCGGGUAAGGAUCGGCCCGCGUUGGAUUAGCUAGUUGGUGGGGUAAAGGCCUACCAAGGCGACGAUCCAUAGCUGGUCUGAGAGGAUGAUCAGCCACAUUGGGACUGAGACACGGCCCAGACUCCUACGCGAUGGAGCAAUGCCGAAUAUUGGACCGUGGGCGCAGGGCUGAUGCACUCAGGCUGGGAGAGUGAUGAUGGUAGGAGAGUAGUAAAGCGCAUUCAACUAAGAAGAUCUUGACGGUACCCGAAGAGGAAGCCACGGCUAACUACGUG
Molecule: ribosomal RNA, 431 nt
Filed under: uncultured bacterium
Lineage: Bacteria
Description: partial 16S ribosomal RNA
Rfam family: Bacterial small subunit ribosomal RNA
Source: RNAcentral